This 468-nucleotide ribosomal RNA is filed under the name uncultured bacterium. RNAcentral's name for it is "partial 16S ribosomal RNA". It matches the Rfam family "Bacterial small subunit ribosomal RNA", at positions 28 to 507 of the family's 1533-position model. The record is from RNAcentral.
GACGAACGCUGGCGGCGUGCUUAACACAUGCAAGUCGAACGGAAAGGCCCUGCUUUUGUGUGGUGCUCGAGUGGCGAACGGGUGAGUAACACGUGAGUAACCUGCCCUUGACUUUGUGAUAACUUCAGGAAACUGGGGCUAAUGCCGGCUAGCAGCUCCUGCUGCAUGGGGGGGGUUGGACCGUUUCGGCGGUUGGGGAUGGACUCGCGGCUUAUCAGCUUGUUGGGUGGGUAGUUGCUUACCAAGGCUUUGACGGGUAGCCGGCCUGAGAGGGUGACCGGCCACAUUGGGACUGAGAGACGGACCAGACGCCUACGGGAGGCAGCAGGGGGGAAUAUUGCACAAUGGGCGGAAGCCUGAUGCAGCAACGCCGCGUGCGGGAUGACGGCCUUCGGGUUGUAAACCGCUGUCGCCUGUGACGAAGCGGGAGUGACGGUAAUGGGUGAAGAAGCACCGGCUAACUACGUG